Molecule: ribosomal RNA, 1211 nt
Filed under: Pristimantis eremitus
Lineage: Eukaryota; Metazoa; Chordata; Amphibia; Anura; Strabomantidae
Description: partial 16S ribosomal RNA
Rfam family: Bacterial large subunit ribosomal RNA
Source: RNAcentral
ACUGGUUCUCAAGAAAAGAAUUUAGUCCACCUAAAAUAAUGUCAACCUACAUAUUUUCCCCUUGUUUUAGAGCAAUUCAAAUGAGGUACAGCCCAUUUGACACAGGACCCAACCUUCACUAACGGGUAAUAUUUAAUUUACACCUACAAGUAGGCCUAAAAGCAGCCACCUUUUAAAAAGCGUCAAAGCUUAACUUCGUAUACCUUAAUUCCAAACUCCCUACAGACCCCUUUAACAAUAUUGAGAACUUCUAUAAUUCUAUAGAACCUUUAAUGCUAAAACUAGUAACAAGAAAUACCCCUCUCAUCAAUGCAAACAUAACCCAGCAAGAACCUAUCACUGGCAACUAACAGAAUUAAAUAAAUGUAGCAACCUUACUAGAAAACCCUACCUUAAACUUACUGUUAACCUAACACCAGAGCAUUUCAAGAAAGAUUAAAAGAAAAAGAAGGAACUCGGCAAACAAUUAACCUCGCCUGUUUACCAAAAACAUCGCCUCUUGCCCCUAUAAGAGGUCCAGCCUGCCCAGUGACCCUGUUCAACGGCCGCGGUAUCCUAACCGUGCAAAGGUAGCGUAAUCACUUGUUUUCUAAAUGGAGACUAGUAUGAAAGGCAUCACGAAGGUUAAACUGUCUCCUCUUUCUAAUCAGUGAACCUAAUCUCCCCGUGAAGAAGCGGGGAUUUUACUAUAAGACGAGAAGACCCUAUGGAGCUUAAAACAUCAUAACACCUGCUACAACUUACAACAUCCCGAUAUUUACCCCGCAGCACGCUGAUUAUAAGUUUUUGGUUGGGGUGACCGCGGAGAAAAACUCAUCCUCCGUAAUGAAGGGGACCUCCCUAAACAAUAAGUCACAACUUUAUGUAUCAAUAAAUUGACAUCUAUUGACCCAAUAAAUUGAUCAACGAACCAAGUUACCCUAGGGAUAACAGCGCAAUCCACUUCAAGAGCUCCUAUCGACAAGUGGGCUUACGACCUCGAUGUUGGAUCGGGGUAUCCUAGUGGUGCAGCCGCUACUAAAGGUUCGUUUGUUCAACGAUUAAAACCCCACGUGAUCUGAGUUCAGACCGGAGUAAUCCAGGUCAGUUUCUAUCUAUAAAGAGCUUUUUUCAGUACGAAAGGACCAAAAUAGCAUGGCCAAUAUUUCUACAAGCCAUAGUUGAUUACUUUUGACCCCACUCAAAAAAUUAUUAACCUAUCCCCCACCUCA